This 253-nucleotide ribosomal RNA is filed under the name uncultured bacterium. Its description in RNAcentral is "partial 16S ribosomal RNA". It matches the Rfam family "Bacterial small subunit ribosomal RNA", at positions 524 to 776 of the family's 1533-position model. The record is from RNAcentral.
UACGUAGGGUGCAAGCGUUGUCCGGAAUUAUUGGGCGUAAAGAGCGUGUAGGCGGCCCGAUUAGUCCGCUGUGAAAGUCCAGGGCUCAACCCUGGAAUGCCGGUGGAUACUGUCGGGCUAGAGUCCGGAAGGGGCGAGUGGAAUUCCUGGUGUAGCGGUGAAAUGCGCAGAUAUCAGGAGGAACACCGAUUGCGAAGGCAGCUCGCUGGGACGUUACUGACGCUGAGACGCGAAAGCGUGGGGAGCAAACAGG